CGCAAUGGCACCAAAUAUAGACGGCAUUCAGUGGGCGUGGAGGUGAAUACAUUUGCAAAGACCAUAUUUGAUUUAUGUCAGAAUACACUGAUGACCAAAUGUUGGUUCCCUUUAGGAAUUCAAGCUUAAGAAGCCCUGUAGCUGAUCAUUCCCUGCAAACACAAGCCUAUAAAGAGACAGUCACCCUGUUUGGACGUCAGACAACCAGCGGUAGAUCACCAAUUACACUUCGAAAACAGCACAAGUGUUGGAAGCAAGAAUGACAGACAGACCAACAGUUGCAGUCACAAGCCUUGGUGGAUCGAAAUACAAAGUUUCAUACACAACGUAUCCACCAAAUGUACGCCCUAACAACGCAGUAGUGAAGGUGAUUGGGGGCGGUGUGGUAGAGUUCAAAGCAAUGGUUGGGAAUCAACCAUCUCACGAUGCGUCGAAGCCCAUUCCAGGAACGACAACCAUAUUAGGCCAGGAAACAAAAGGGGAUACCCACGUCGUGACGCUGGAAUGUUCGUCCGACCCUUCCCAAUAUAUUUUAUAAGUUCAUUACUUGUUACUGGUUCGUGGAUUGUUAGAAUAAUGUGCACACUUGGACCGACGGAUUUUACCUUUCACAAAUAGCAAUAGGGCUGUUCCACAUAAUGUCUGAGGUUCGUAUCGAUCUGUUCUUUUCAGCAAACAUGUGUCAUCACAUUCCAAUUUAACACCAGAAUGUGUCAUUACUUUACUUGGUUCGGCUGCUUGUAGAUGCUUGUCGUGUUUGGUAAUAAUGUCUGUCAUGUUUGAGUACUUCUAUGUCUUUUAUCCAGCCACUUUAUUUAUUUGAAGCUUUAUUCUUUUUCAACCACUACACAACAUUGGACGUAUUUGAUAAUUGUUUUAGCAACGAACAAAAAUGUUCAGUAACGGUAUGUAAUAAUAACAUGAUGCAGUCACGCACAAAUUAACACAUUCAAGGUGUUAUUUACUUUGGUGUCUGAUUUUGCUCGUUCACGAAAUGUUCUUUCUCUCAUAAAUCUAAUAAUAAUACAAUACAUGUCUAUUAUCUCAAAUGAAAUUUGUUUACAUACUUGACAUUUUUCGUCAUGUCUGAUAUGCUCUAUUCAUCAUUUUAAAUGAUUCAAUUGAUUAAUGUGUUCAAUUUUGUGCUGAAGCUUGUAGUGUUUAAAUCAGUUAACGAAAUAAUGAGUCGCAGUAAAACUCAUGUCGUUCAAUAUAUGAAUAACCUAUUUCAACAUUGAAGAAUAAAGUUUAAUCGCGUGUGUUCCAAUAAUCGAUCUAGCACAAUGGCUUUGUCAGAAAUUAUACACUUUAACCGUUCCGAUACCAAAAUUCAAUACUUGCAAUACUGAGGCGUACAAUUUACAGUAUUUGUGAUCUAAAUAUUAUAAUACUUAUGAAAUACAAUUUAAACUGAAAUGUUGAAGUUUGUUAUUCCUUGGUAUAUAUGUGGUACGUCAAUCAUUUUAUGUAUUAGAAGAAAUAAAAUUUCAACUGCAA
Molecule: long non-coding RNA, 1497 nt
Organism: Haliotis rufescens (red abalone)
Lineage: Eukaryota; Metazoa; Mollusca; Gastropoda; Lepetellida; Haliotidae
Exons: 6
Source: RefSeq, a predicted model, not a curated record